Molecule: long non-coding RNA, 1560 nt
Organism: Vigna radiata var. radiata (mung bean)
Lineage: Eukaryota; Viridiplantae; Streptophyta; Magnoliopsida; Fabales; Fabaceae
Exons: 2
Source: RefSeq, a predicted model, not a curated record
AUGAGUUUAGGUAAAAACAAAAAACAUAGAAUAAAAUUCAAACAAACAAGUUUAAAUAAAAAAAAACGCAAAGGUGAAAAACUAGGAGUGUAUAAUCUAAGCCCAUGAUGACGGGGAAUAGCAAUGAGGUUUAGGGGUGUGUGAACCAGGAAGGAAAUUUUCUUUAGCAGAACCUGGCCCAGGAAUUUAACCCAACGCCCCUUGGUUCAGAAAUUUGGGUUCUAUCAUAUGACCCCCACUUUUGCAUUGAACGUCCAGGACCUAGCCUCCCCUCCUUUGAACGAAACAAACAGAGAAGGGUUUGCCUCCCUGCUCGAGAGCGUUGUCGCCUCUGCUGAACCAGCUUCCACCGUACCAGCCUUAGUCAGCCGCCGCGCGUCGUGUCGGAGGAAACCGCGUGCACCGCCGCGCUGCACUCAGGAUCUUCGCCAGCCACAGUGUCGAGCUCCUCUCCUCUCUCUAUUCUGACUAGCGCAUGGAAGGGAAGUUUUCCUCUUGCUUGCCGCACGUUUCCGUCUUCAUCUGGCUCUGAAGGGCUUUUCUUGACUGUUGAUUUGAUUUGUUUGUGAUUUUGUUUCUAUUGUUCAAGGGGAUUAACUCUUUUGUUGGAGGCUUGAGAUAAACAAAGGUGUGACCGAUUGGGGAUCUGGGUUGGUUCUUUUCUUUGUAGAGAAGAGAAACGGCAUGUAGUAAAGAUCAAGACUGAUGAAGGUAUGUAUGUGGGAUAUCGGUUUGCAGGUUUGGGUUAUACACAGAGGGGAUUGGUUUCUAAUCGUUGAAAGUGGUAGAGCGCGUUUAUGUUGUCGGCAUGAAUGUAUAACAAACAAUGUGCAGAAGCAAAUCGUGUAUAUUGAGUGUUGAACAACAAAAAAACGAGAUAUGCAUACAACGCUCAGAAUAUUCAAUGGCAACUAUUCAUAAGCAUAUAGAGGCAUUAUAAAGGCAGGGUAAAAAGACAUUUUAACAAUGAUUGUGAAAUGAGUUUACUCGUUUACCACUUGGAGCUUCUACGGUUGCUAUGACAGGAUAUACGAAGUUAGUGAUGAAGGUCCGGAGUCAAGAGCUCUAUGUGAUGGUUCGGCGUUGAUGACGAGUCUUCGAUGUUUGGGGUUUUUGGUGGAUGAAACCUGGAUGCUGUUGAAGGUGAGGAAUUGGAAUUGAAAGGGAAAUGUGGUUGAGGUUAGAAUGUUAGGAUCGGUUUGGUAUCGUGGGAAAAUCUUGAGAAGGAUUCCGUUGAGUAGAGAGUAGUAGUCUCUAUGAGUGAUUCAAGGAGUUCAGUAUUGAAUGACCCCUGUCCCUUCCGGAAGUCAACCUUCUCUUGUUACCCCACCCGAGAGGAUCCAUUCCGAAUCUGCGAAAGCCACCACCUUUCUCAAACCCUAUUCCUCUUUGGUGCAUAGUCAGUGACAAAAACCAUGGUGCCCAGGGGUUCCUAACCAGAAAAGGGAAAUCGAUUGCGUGUAGAGGUACACGCCGUUGUGUGUUGCAGGAUAGAAAGCGCCGUAGGAAGGAAAGAGUGAAAGAAAAGACCGCCAAUCCAAAAAAAAUUCAAAGGAGAAA